Molecule: ribosomal RNA, 296 nt
Filed under: uncultured marine eukaryote
Lineage: Eukaryota
Description: partial 18S ribosomal RNA
Rfam family: Eukaryotic small subunit ribosomal RNA
Source: RNAcentral
AACCUGGUUGAUCCUGCCAGUAGUCAUACGACUCGUCUCAUAGAUUAAGCUAUGCAUGUCUAAGUAUAAAUACUUUUACUUUGAAACUGCGAACGGCUCAUUAUAUCAGUUAUAGUUUAUUUGAUAGUCCCUUACUACUUGGAUAACCGUAGUAAUUCUCGAGCUAAUACAUGCAUCAAUACCCAACUGUUCGCGGACGGGUAGUAUUUAUUAGAUAGAAACCAACCCUCUUCGGAGGCGCUCAGGUGAUUCAUGAUACACUCUGCGAAUCGCAUGGCCUCGUGCCGGCGAUGGAU